RNAcentral lists this long non-coding RNA (3444 nucleotides) under Homo sapiens (human). Its description in RNAcentral is "HSALNT0103303". Lineage: Eukaryota; Metazoa; Chordata; Mammalia; Primates; Hominidae. The record is from RNAcentral.
CUCCAAUAAUUCCAUUUUAUUUUAAGUAUCAAAACUCAUUAUUUAACAAAUACCACAUAGUGGUUUCAUGACUUCUGUGGCUAAACAGGCUAGAACCUCCACACCCCAAGAGAUUAGAGCCUUCAUCCAGCGCUUUGGACUGCUUAGCCACUUUGCCUCCACGAAAAGCAAUUAUUUUAGAACGUUGUGUAUAUUACCUUCUCUAUUCCCUUUUAACAUACACUCAUCAGGAAUUUCAUGUCCUCCAAACUGGCAAAAGUAGAGUUAAAAUUGUGUGCACAGACCGUCUCAAAGAUUCCCACCUGCCAAACAUCCAUCCUGAUUAUCUACCCUGUUAUGAGUCCUCCCAGAUAUUGAGAAAAGACAGAAUUCUUUUCGGGACGUUCAUUGCCCCUCUCUCCAGCCAACCAGGACCCAGGAGACCCGAGUUUCGGUCCCAGCGCUGUCUUUUAUGUUACCCGGGUGUGAAGCAGGAGGUAGCCUUUACACCUGGGAGAAUAAAAUCCAUUCGCUUCUAGAAAAAUCAGUCAUCGAGAAAACGCUUGAAAACCCCCAUGGACGACCUGGCUCUGGGACUGAAACGGCGCUUAGUUGACGUCUCAUUUUUGCCGGCUGCGUUUAGGAGUAGGCAGCAGAGAGUUAUUUUUAAUGUGCACAACCAGAAAACAGAGGACGUCCCCAUCCCCAGCCCCAGCCUCCCAUCUACCCACCUAGGAUUCGAGUGCCUGCUUUUUAAUAAAGUCCUUACUAUGAAAGACGUGGAAAGAAACGUCUGUACAGACAGAUCUACUUUUUGCUCAAUGUGUUCAGGGCCUUAAUUCCCAAAGUCCAGGACGGGAAUCCUUUUGCGUUAUGCGUGUCUUCGCAUACUACCGGGCCCAGAGAGGCUGUGUCCUGCCCUCUCCAACCCCACGAAAGCGUUCUGGGCGGGUCCCGGGUCUCCCCUCCCCAGUCCCAACCUCCUUGUCCCUCAACCCUCAGUCGUCUCAGUCCCCGCCUGCCCUGGGUGCCCUGGGCCCCGCAGACGCACCUGAAUUCCCCCGGCCCUACGUAGGGCCUGCUCCUGGACGCGGAGCCGAAAUCGGUUCAAAGCCUGCGGGCGGGGCUCCUUGCAGGUCCCCGAAAGAAUGAGAACCGGGACCCCCCCCCCCACCACCGGGACGUGGAAGGACGGGUUACAGAGGAGAACGCGUUAUCUCCUCUGGGAGGCGAUUUUCAGAACUUACUGCGGGAAAAAAAAAAAAAAAAGAAAAGAAAAAAGAAAGAACCCCCCCCCCCAAAAAAAAAACAAGCCCAAGAGGAGCAGAAGAAAACAAAGGGUGGGAGAAAACUGGGACAAAUUACUUUUUCUUGGUCAGUCUUCAAGUGUCGACCAAACUCCUUGAGGCCAAAGCAGUGGAGUCCUGCUCCCCGCCCCUCCCCCACCUCCGCACCCCUCCUGAGAGGCCCCACGUGACACAGAACUUUACUGGCCUCUUGAAAAUGACAUCACAAGACCUUAAGAAGAGCUAAACGGGCUGCCACCUGUAGCUGAAGAGUGCCUUAACGCCGAGGCCCACGGCUCCAUGCGAGAGAUGCCUGUUCCUUCUCUGAUAAAUUUGGCAGCUUCACGUACCCUAAGGCCCAGAAAGGACCUGUUUCCUCAACACCCUGACCAGCACAGAACAUUGUAAUAAUGACAAUUAUCAGUCAUUUAGCUCCAACUAAGCCCCAGAUAUUGUCAUAAAUUCUUUACAUAUAUUGAGUCAUAGAAUAAUCUCAAUAAUAUAUAAGGAUGUUCAUAUAAUCCACAUUUUACAGAAAAGAAAAUUGGAGUUGUGACCGAUUAAUCACAUAAUCACAGUCGUCUAAAUCACAUAGAUUGUAGAUGGAGGAAUAAGAAUGUCAGUGCCUGUGAUUGAAUGAAAAAUGCCCCAAAAGAUAUCCAUGCUCUAAUUCUUGGAAUCUCUGAAUAUUACCUUACUUUGCACAGACCCCCAAAAGGGGGGUCUUCGGAGAAAAAGUUAAAGAUGAAGAAAUUAUCCUGGAUUAUCCAAGUGGAGCUCAAAUACCAUCACAAGUGCCUUUAAUAGGGAGAGGCACAGGGAGAUUAUACAGUUACAGAAGAGAAGAAGACAAUGUGACCACACGGACACAGAUAGAAGCAAUGCCACCACCAGCCAAGGAAUGCGAGCAGCCACCAGAGGCUGGGAAAAGGUAAGGACAUAUUCUUCCCUAGAGCCUCCGGAGGGAGCAUAGCCCUGCCAACACCUUGAUUUCAAACCAGUGAUACUGAGUUUGGACUUUUGGCCUCCAGAACUGUGAGAAAAGAAGUCACUUAUUUUAGGCCAUCAAGUUUGUGGUACUGUAAUUUGUUACAGAAGCUACAGAAAACUAAUUCAACAUCUUUAAGUGCUAUUCGGCACACUACCACAAACAACUGUUUUUGUUUUGCUGUUGUUUGCCAAUCUGAUAUGUUAAAGACAUUAUCUCACUGUAUUUCUAUAGUUUCAUUUUUUAAACUUCUUUUACUUCUUACUUCUAUAUUGCUUUUAUUAUUAAAUUGGUUGCACCAACUGGGAACAACAGAUUUUAUUGUGUCUGCUAUCAACCUUAUCUCAGGCAACAGAUAGAAAUGAAUAAAAUUAACUCUUUAAAACAUAAGUUACAAAUAUUUUCCCCCCCAGUUUUACUUGAUGUUUUGUCACUGUGUUUAUGCCUUUUUUGAGGGGAUGAGGGUACAUCCCAGUGGAAUUUUUUAAAUGUUGUUUAAUGCAGUGAAUUAUGUUAAACUCUCAUUGUCUCUGAAUUUUGUGUAAAAAAUUAGUUUUCUGUACCAAAGUUAUAUAAAAUUUCUGUCUUGGAAUUUCUAGUAAUUAUAACUGUGGGUUUGUUUCAUUCUUUACUUUUACAAUUUGCUUGUAUUUGGAAUUUAUUUUAGUCUCAUAGCUUUAAGCUUUUCUUUUCCUAAGUGGCUGUCCAAUUAGCCCAACACAUGUUUUGAAUAAUCUGCCUAUUUCUAUUGAUUUAAGUUGCCAAUGAUUACAGUCUUAACCAUUUUUUUCUCUCAACUUUUGAGUGUUUCCAUUGGAGAAAAAAAACUAUUUUGGUGGCCUAACAAUGGUUUGUUCACUCUCUCAUAAUACCUGAGCAUGUCAUUUACUCAAGGCAUACAUUGACAGAAGAUUCAAGUGUGGGAAUUCAGUAUGUCUGUUGUUUACUAUUCUAUUUAUGAAGCAGCAGAGUCAGCCUCAAACAUAUUAGCAAUCCCUGUUAAUGUUUUUAUAAAUACAAAUAUUUGUUAUUUUUAAUUUUCUAAAAGUAAUACAAAGUUGUAACUAAUUUAAGCUUUUAUUAUUAAAUUAGUUGCACUGACUGGUGACAACAGAUUUUAUUGUGUCUGCUGUCAACCUCAUUUCAGGCAUAGAUAGAAAUGAAGGUGAUUUCCUUUAUUUUUAAAAUCUA